GGGCCCAUGGCGCAGCUGGGAGCGCGCUUCAAUGGCAUUGAAGAGGUCGAGGGUUCGAAUCCCUCUGGGUCCA
Molecule: transfer RNA, 73 nt
Filed under: Chloroflexota bacterium
Lineage: Bacteria; Bacillati; Chloroflexota
Also listed under: 1 other name
Description: Chloroflexi bacterium tRNA-Ala
Rfam family: tRNA
About the family: Transfer RNA (tRNA) molecules are approximately 80 nucleotides in length. Their secondary structure includes four short double-helical elements and three loops (D, anti-codon, and T loops). Further hydrogen bonds mediate the characteristic L-shaped molecular structure. tRNAs have two regions of fundamental functional importance: the anti-codon, which is responsible for specific mRNA codon recognition, and the 3' end, to which the tRNAs corresponding amino acid is attached (by aminoacyl-tRNA synthetases). tRNAs cope with the degeneracy of the genetic code in two manners: having more than one tRNA (with a specific anti-codon) for a particular amino acid; and 'wobble' base-pairing, i.e. permitting non-standard base-pairing at the 3rd anti-codon position.
Source: RNAcentral